This 79-nucleotide non-coding RNA is filed under the name unclassified sequences. RNAcentral describes it as "RAGATH-18 RNA". It matches the Rfam family "RAGATH-18 RNA". From Rfam's summary of the family: Actinobacteria, Firmicutes, Fusobacteria, Thermotogae (1 example). Nearby to self-cleaving ribozyme genes The record is from Rfam by way of RNAcentral.
CUUGUGGACUGUUAUAUCAAAUGGGAGUAGAUUUAUAUUUGAGGAUAUAAAAACAAAACCAGACAGGAAGAAGCAAGAA